UCGUGUCGUGAGAUGUUGGGUUAAGUCCCGCAACGAGCGCAACCCUUUUCCUUAUUUGCCAGCGGGUUAAGCCGGGAACUUUAAGGAUACUGCCAGUGACAAACUGGAGGAAGGCGGGGACGACGUCAAGUCAUCAUGGCCCUUACGACCAGGGCUACACACGUGCUACAAUGGUCGGUACAAAGGGUUGCUACCUAGCGAUAGGAUGCUAAUCUCAAAAAGCCGAUCGUAGUCCGGAUUGGAGUCUGCAACUCGACUCCAUGAAGUCGGAAUCGCUAGUAAUCGCGGAUCAGAAUGCCGCGGUGAAUACGUUCCCGGGCCUUGUACACACCGCCCGUCACACCAUGGGAAUUUGUUGCACCAGAAGUAGGUAGUCUAACCGCAAGGAGGACGCUUACCACGGUGUGGCCGAUGACUGGGGUGAAGUCGUAACAAGGUAGCCGUAGGGGAACCUGCGGCUGGAUCACCUCCUUA
This is a non-coding RNA of Acinetobacter bouvetii, 474 nucleotides long. The record is from Rfam. Lineage: Bacteria; Pseudomonadati; Pseudomonadota; Gammaproteobacteria; Moraxellales; Moraxellaceae.